AAUAGGUGUAGACAGUUGAACAGUAAAGUAUUAAACUUGAAACAUUCUCGUACAGCGGUGAAAGAUCCUGCCAUGAUGCAGACCAAACUGACUGGUUUGCUGUGGUGGGAAGAGGUGGCAUAACUCCAGUGGGUUUAGGUGACGCAAGAGUCGAUCUGUCCAAGAGCAUCAGAGAGGUUUCCUACUCUUUCUUGGUAUCAACCCAUUAAUAUCUUGUUUUUUACAUUCCAAUUUGGAAUUUGUCAUUUUUUUAGACUUUUUCAUAUCAAGAUUUCAACUGAGUAUGUCCGUCUCAAUUUUGACUUUUUGUCAUAAUUUUGACUUUUCGUCAUUUUUUUUUACUUUUUCAAAACUUUCGGACUUGGUCACAAUUUUGACUUUUUGACUUUUUUUUUAGGCUUUUUCAAAUAAUUUCGGACUUUGACUUUUCGUCUUUUUUUGGACUAUUUCAUGUCAAUUUCAACUGAGUAUGUCGGUCUCGAUUUUGACUUUUCGUCUUUUUUUUUGGACUUUUUCAUGUCAGUUUUGACUUUUUUCAUGUUUUGUACUUUUUCAUAUAAAUUUGUACUAUGAUGAUGUUUAUGAUAGUGAUGAUGAUGAUAAUGAUCAGUGAUGAUGAUUAUGAUGAUGAUGAUGUUCUCCUCUACAGGUCUCAGGAUGGUGUGUGAGCUGUUGCUCUCUUCUGUCUGGUUCCUCUUCGUGAUCUUCUGGCUGGAGACCAUCAGCGUGUGGCUCUUCCUGUGUCUGUACUAUCAGGACAGAGUCUUCUAUCACUGGGGUUCAGGGGAGUUUGCAGAUGAUCCGGAUCAGUUCCUCUAUGUGUUGAGCAGAAUCGAUCUUUCUGCGCAUAUGCAGACGUGAGGAAGUGAUGUCGUGGCGUGGGAGUGCCGUGCUUAGAGGACGUGGGUGAUGGACGGGAAGGGUCAGAGGUCACCGGUGAUGUCAUGUCUCGGAGGAUCCAGCUGAAGAGAAAGAGAGAGAGCUGAACUCAGAGUCUGGAGUUUCAGCAAUAUCAGAGAAUAAUAAUCAAUGAAAGCUUAGAGAUUUCUGCACAUGAUCAACCGUGAUCCGCUUUCCUGGAGCUGAUUUAAUCUUUUAAACUAGAGGGAACUUCACUUUAUAGAGCAUUAAUGUCUCAAGAUGAUAAAACUCUUCUAAUUAUUCGUUUUCUAUUUUUGUAUCAAUUUGUCCCUUUUUUGCCUGAUAAUAAAGCAGUUUUACAGUGAGGUUUUGUUUCUACUGGAGAAAAACUAAAUAAAAAGAUGCUUUACACACUCCGAUCAUUAUUAUUAUAUAUUCUCUUUCAUCACAAUAAUGUAACAGAACAGUUUGUCACAGAAUUUAUUAAACUUGUUUGUUGUUAAA
This is a long non-coding RNA of Ctenopharyngodon idella (grass carp), 1365 nucleotides long. RefSeq lists it as uncharacterized. The transcript has 3 exons. The record is from RefSeq and is a predicted model, not a curated record. Lineage: Eukaryota; Metazoa; Chordata; Actinopteri; Cypriniformes; Xenocyprididae.